Molecule: ribosomal RNA, 253 nt
Filed under: uncultured bacterium
Lineage: Bacteria
Description: partial 16S ribosomal RNA
Rfam family: Bacterial small subunit ribosomal RNA
Source: RNAcentral
UACAGAGGGUGCAAGCGUUAAUCGGAAUUACUGGGCGUAAAGCGUGCGUAGACGGUUACAUAAGUCGGGUGUGAAAGCCCCGGGCUCAACCUGGGAAUUGCAUUCGAGACUGCGUAGCUAGGGUGCGGAAGAGGGAAGCGGAAUUUCCGGUGUAGCGGUGAAAUGCGUAGAUAUCGGAAGGAACACCAGUGGCGAAAGCGGCUUCCUGGUCCAGCACCGACGUUGAGGCACGAAAGCGUGGGGAGCAAACAGG